Molecule: long non-coding RNA, 2414 nt
Organism: Nicotiana tabacum (common tobacco)
Lineage: Eukaryota; Viridiplantae; Streptophyta; Magnoliopsida; Solanales; Solanaceae
Source: RefSeq, a predicted model, not a curated record
GCUUGUUCAUAAAAAUGCUUUCUUAUACUGAUUAUCUCCAUGCUCACUCACGUGGCUUCUCUCAAAUAUAAUUCUAGAAGAAUCAUCUUUUUGUCUCUUUUGUUCCAAGGAUGGAAAAACAUAGCCACUCUUUCGAUUACUCUGAACUCUGAAGUACUUUUUGCGAGUUCUCUUCAUAUUUCAGAUUUAUUCUUCAAAAAGAAAACAGAUUUGUGCCCUUCUCUCGGUUAGCUUCGCCGAUGUAGCGUGUAAGUUUGUCAUUUUUUUUCCUCUUUGUUUAUUUCAUUGUUCCGGUUAUAAUUUUUUUUUAUUUUUAGUGGUUAUUCGUAACAACUAUUUAGAUUGGUCAUUUAUAUGGAACAAUUUUUUUUUGUGACAGCUCAAAGUGUUGGAUAAGAUUUGUUCUCAAAAAUUCUCCAUUUGUGUUUAUUAUCUUUUUAAAUAUUUUUUAAUGAGCAAUUGCUCUUUUAAUUCUAUAUGGCUUCACUUAUGUUAAACAAAAUUGUUUCGGCAAUUCCGAAAUUGAGGAAAUUUAGUUCUUGAAGAGUGAAAAUUUCUUUUUUAUUUUAAAUUAUGAAAGUUUAUGUGGAUUGAUUUACGUAAAAGAAGAGUAUUCUGGCAGCUUUGGUGGUGGGAAGAUUCAGUUCUUUAAAAAUAAAAUGUUUAUCUAGCUUCUGCUCUUAGUUGUCCGCGUGCACAUUGGUUGCUAUGUUUGACUGUAUAUAAUUUUACUGUUGUCUUUAGCUUAGCUGUAUUUGACUACAUAUAGUAGAAUCAAGGAGUUUCUUUUCUAUAGUACUGGAUGUUGUCAAAUUCGAACUUCAUAUCCAGAUGAGAGAGAAAAGGAAUUUUUGUUUCUGGUUUGACAUUCAGAGCAUAACAUCGAAUAAACGAAUGAAGUCGCGAAUGACUUAUGCUUGGUUGCACACACUGAAUGAUUAUAAUCUUCGAUAAUAUAUGUGUAUUAACCAUGGUGUAUCCAUAAUUUUUAAGUCUGUUGUUGAAAAAAGUGAUGCAUUUUUCUCCUGCUGUUGUUUUAUUCAGAUCUAAAGAAGUCUCGAAUUCUAAAGUUUAAUGUUAAGGGAGAGAGAUAUCUCGAGAAUUCCUUUGCCUGGGAGGAGUUUUAUUUAUAACUUGUGAGUUUCAUCUAUUUUAUUAUCCAUUACUUUAAAAACACUUGAUUACUGAUUAGCAACUUUGGUAUGCAAUUCUGUAAUUUCAACUGAUUUUAAAUUAAUUUUUUUAUUUCUCUAAUAACACACUUGUCCUUCACAUUCCUCCAUCUAGAAUUCUCUAUAGCUCAGUCCUCUAACUAGCUUUCUUUCACGAUUACUUUGUUAAUUGUCUACCAUUACUAAUGAGUUCUAUCAGCAAUCAUCUACUAUUAGUAUUAGACCUUUCUUGCUAACCUUUCCUGUUCCUUCAUAUCCUUCUUUAGGAUUUGCAUUUCCUUAUCUCUAAUCAGAUUUCAAACACAGUUCUGUAUUUACAAUUUGGGAUUGUGUGCUACUGCUUGCUGAAUAUGUGUACUAAUUAAAAAUACAUCAUGCAAGAUGGAACACUCUUGAGCUUUCGAACUGCUGAAUGAGAUAUUGAGGUAUACCACUUUAAUUGUUAUUCUUUUGAAGGAUUUAUAUGGUUUUUAUUUUCUUAUUUAUUUGUCAUCAUUAAUCAGUUAAAGGUCGAUUCUGUACUAAUUUUGAGGUAUAACCCCUUUGAAGUAUUACAUUUUUUAAGUUGCAAACAUGCGAAAUUUAAUAAUUGCUAAUCUAAAUUUGAUGUAUAAACCUCUUUUAGAUUUUUGUUUGCAUUGCCAACUACUUUGCACAUUGAUUCCACAUCUAUGCUCUUAGAGUCAUGAUCUCCCUUCACCAAAUUCUUUGUUUUUCAUUGUUUCUCUUUUGAUUCUUCUUCCAGACCUCCUCUUGUAUGAGGUUUGAAGUUUAUCCCAUGAUCCGAAACGGAAGCUUUUUCACUUUUACUUUCUCUAUUUUAUUAUUUCAACUAUUAAAAUAUUUUCAGGAGUUACAUAAUAUGCUUGAUUGGUUGUCAACGUGGCUAAAGAUAUCUGCUUCCCAUUACAGUGAUUGAGUUUAGUAAUAUAUCUGUAAACUUCUUUCUUCUCCAUUUGAAAUUAUUGAAAGUAGAUAAUAAUUAGCAUGUGUACUGCUGUAACUUCAACUUAGUGGGAUCACUUCUGUGAGUAAAGUGCUUCUCUAGCUCACGUUAUAAGUACCACUUCUCUCUUGAUAUCUUGAUUAUUGAAGUUUAUCACCCUGAGAAAUCUUUUCUGUCUUAGGUUAUAAGUACAACUUUUCUUGUUUGAUAGAUCUCCUUAGUUCUCAAGUUAUCAUCUUCUAGAACCUUUUGAAGUUGUAAAUUGUAGUCUUAUAGACAUACUUUGCUAUUACCAA